Molecule: ribosomal RNA, 570 nt
Filed under: Triticum aestivum (bread wheat)
Lineage: Eukaryota; Viridiplantae; Streptophyta; Magnoliopsida; Poales; Poaceae
Description: partial small subunit ribosomal RNA
Source: RNAcentral
AUGGCCUCUCCUGGACCCAACAAAUCGUCUUGCCCGUUGCAGCUUUCCGUCUUGCUAGUCCCAGCAAAUCAUCUCCCCUAUCCUAGCAAAAAAAAUCUCAGCCACAAAAAAACUCGCUGGUUGGUCGCAACAAAAAUUCUUGCUGGUCCCAGCAAAAAUGAACGCCGGUUGCAGCAAAAAAAAUGGCCAUCACCGGGUUGUAGCAAAAAUUCUCGCCGGUCACUAGUCGUAACAAAAAUUCUCGCUGGUCGCAACAAAAAUUCUUGCUGGUUGCAGCAAAAAAAAUGGCCAUCACCGGGUCGUAGUAAAAAUUCUCGCCGGUCACUGGUCAAAACAAGAAUUCUCGCUGGUCGCAACAAAAAUAAACACCGGUUGCAGCAAAAAAAUGGCUUGCAAUCACCCGGUCCUAGCAAAAAUUCCCGCCGGUCCCUAAAAAACAACUCGCAGGUUGUAGCUCGAUAUCAACCGGUCAGGGCUCCGACGGCUGUCCAUGGCGAUUGCAAGAGGAAACGAGUGGACACGGGUAGGGAUAGAAACAAGUGUAGGGGAAAAAAGCGGUCUGGCAGCUAA